GGCUCGGUGGUGUAGUUGGUUAUCACGUCAGUCUAACAAGCCAGUUAGAACACUGAAGGUCCCGAGUUCAAACCUCGGCUGAGUCA
RNAcentral lists this transfer RNA (86 nucleotides) under Byssothecium circinans. Its description in RNAcentral is "tRNA-Val". The record is from RNAcentral. Lineage: Eukaryota; Fungi; Ascomycota; Dothideomycetes; Pleosporales; Massarinaceae.